Long non-coding RNA from Octopus sinensis (East Asian common octopus), 171 nucleotides. RefSeq lists it as uncharacterized. Lineage: Eukaryota; Metazoa; Mollusca; Cephalopoda; Octopoda; Octopodidae. The transcript has 2 exons. The record is from RefSeq and is a predicted model, not a curated record.
UCUGUUGUACCUGUAUUUCAAAGGGCCGGCCUUGUCACGCUGAAUCACCCCGAGAACUACGUUAAGGGUACACGUGUCUGUGAAUGCUCAGCCACUUGCACGUUAAUUUCACAAGGAAGCUGUUCGGUUGAUCGUAUCAGCUUGGACCUUCGUUGUCGUAACGGACGGAGU